UUGAGGGCCUUUUGGUAUGUUAAUUUUCAACAUCUUCUGUUCCCCUUUUAAUGAGGUGUGUAUUGCCAGUUCUACUUGUGGAAUUCAGAUGUCUUUUACGACGAUUCACCGUUUAUUUGCUUUUUAAAUUUCUGUCACUUUCUCUGUUAUAUGCUUCAUCUUUCAGGUGAGUUCUUGUUUCCUUUUCAUUUUUCCUUGUAUUUUUUUUUUCAGCUUUCCCACUUAUGCAUAUGUUUUGGUGUUGUUUAAAUCAUAAUUUCAAGAUUUGUUUUUCAUUAUGUUAUUCUUGCAUGUGUUAACUAAGGAUUUCGACAAUUUUGUGAAAGUUACGGUAUCACUCUAAUAAUUGUGGUGAGUUAAUUACUACUCUUUUUCUCCUCUAAUUUUCUUAAUGUUCCAUAAUUCAUCUUUGAAGGGAACUAUUGCAUCACUUAGAAAAGACUGUGAUCCUAACUGUAUGAAUUUUUAAUUAAUUAUAAAUGCAAUGGGCUUUAAUCUUAUAAGUUGAAGCUUUGAUUAAUUUGAAACUUCCUUUAAGGUUCUUCUUAAGUAAUGUAUUCACUUCUGGAUUUCAAAAUUUUGUUUACUUUAUUUUUAGUCUAAAAGAUUGUGUGUUCUCAUGUUCUAGAUCUACAAUUUUAAAUAAUACUUAGCCUGAGCUUUUCUUUUUGCACCUAAUUAUGCAUUUUAACAGAUCAAGAAUUACGAUAUCGAGAGUUAUCUAUUCAGGAAUUUCGUAAAGAACUUGGUAGAGACAUAUCUCUAUCCUUGUUUGGAGGCAUGGUCACUUCAAUUUGAUUAUUCCAAAAUUCAUUUUGAUUAUAGAUAUAAUAAGAAUAUGUUUUAAAAUUUUUGCAAUUACAGAUUUCUUUCGUCAUAUUCCUUCUUUAAGGCUGAGAGGUGAGCGGUGUCUUAACUUAUGCAUAUGAUCUCACACGUAUAAUGGUAUAUAUAUUUUCUGGGAGGUAAGGCUUACUGAUGGUACUUUAUGAUGAUUUUAUCAUGACUUCAUGUUCAAUAAGUGUGUUGAUUAGUAGAGAUCUUUCACCUUAUUUUGCAAUGUGUGAAUUUCUAAUUUGGUUCGUGGGAUGUGAGAGUGAGUGACAAAGACUUGCAUUAAAUAAAAUAUGCCCAUUUCCGACAUGGAUCAUACCAUUAAAUUGAAAAUGAAAAUGGACUGAUUAACCUUCAGUUGAACUUCAAAACACUAUAAAUAGAGAAAAGGAGAAAAUAUUAAUCAUAAAAGAACAAACUAAUACUAUUCGUUGAGUAUGUGGACAAAUGCUUAGUGUGCCAGCUAGUAAAGGCUAAGCACCAGAGACUAGUAGGAUUCUUACAGUCAGUUCAGAUGCCUCGAUGAAAGUGAGAAGAAAUAGCCAUGGACUUUGUCUCAUGAUAGCUAAAGACUGUGAGGCAACAUGAGCGAUUUGUCAUUCCUGACAAAGAACCGCCAACUGAUUAUUCCUGGGCAAAUCAGAAUCAGAUUGAAGUGAAGGUUAGGACUGCAAAGAUGGACUGUUUUGUAUGAUUUUGAUUCUUCCUAAAUGUACAACGCGCUGAUUAAGAGAUAGACGAGAAUCCUCUCAAAUCCUCACCCAUUUUCAGGUCCUGGUGCUCAGUCCAGCAGGGUGAUUAAUUUUAAGCAUCUCCACCUAUAUCCCAACUCUUGGUGAGUCAUCAUAGUUCGAGGGCCCAUUCUACUAGAUGUUGAUGAUAGUGAAGUAUUUUAGUCAUUUGGUUUUCAUUCAAUUUGAGUCAGCUGAGGCUUGUACUAGUGACUCUCUAUUUAGAAGUAGAGUCUUGUCCGACUGAUUUUCGUUUCUAGAUUUCAACAGAGUUUGUUUUCAAGUUUAAGACUUUUAGUAAGAUAUUAAUUCAGUUUCAGUUAAGACAAUUAUUCAGUAUUUCAAGAUUUUAUA
Molecule: long non-coding RNA, 1919 nt
Organism: Capsicum annuum
Lineage: Eukaryota; Viridiplantae; Streptophyta; Magnoliopsida; Solanales; Solanaceae
Exons: 4
Source: RefSeq, a predicted model, not a curated record